UACGUAGGGUGCGAGCGUUGUCCGGAAUUAUUGGGCGUAAAGAGCUCGUAGGCGGUGUGUCACGUCGGCCGUGAAAACCUGCAGCUUAACUGUGGGCGUGCGGUCGAUACGGGCAUCACUGGAGUUCGGCAGGGGAGACUGGAAUUCCUGGUGUAGCGGUGAAAUGCGUAGAUAUCGAGAGGAACACCUGCGGCGAAGGCGGGUUGCUGGGCUGACACUGACGCUGAUGCGCGAAAGCCAGGGGAGCGAACGGG
This 254-nucleotide ribosomal RNA is filed under the name uncultured bacterium. RNAcentral's name for it is "partial 16S ribosomal RNA". It matches the Rfam family "Bacterial small subunit ribosomal RNA", at positions 524 to 776 of the family's 1533-position model. The record is from RNAcentral.